CAGUGGGACAACAACAUUAAUCACGGGUUUCAUCACUGGAUCUUGUGUUGUGAGAUGUAAAGUCCCCUGUUAUGUGUCCGGCUGUGCCGUGUUGUUGGUGGAGUGGCCAGCGUGGUGUUUGUCUCGAUUCGGGUCACAACACCAGAAUUGCCAGCGGGGUCCACACACAGUGUAUUAGUCAACAGAAAACCUCUCGUCCCUGCAGUCUUUGUCUCCUGGUAAACUCAACACCCUGACAAUGUGGACCACAGAUACUCCUUCCUCUUUAAAGUCAGUUAUUCAUUCAGACAGCUGAUCGCUGAGAGGAAUUAUAUUUAUUGGUCAUUAACGUUCGCCCAGAUUCGUUUGGACGGAUAUGAUAUGGAGUUCGGGGUGUCACAGUGAAAGGGCCGGAGGGCCGAACUCUCUCCGUUGUCCAAACAUCCUUCCAGGUGAGGCGACACUUCACCUGUGAAUCUUCCUGGGUCGCCCGUUGUAUCCGCUGCUCCCGAUGCUGCCGCCUCUUCACUGGUUACACCAGCUCCUCCGCAGUUGUGCGGGGCAGGGUUGUUUUUUUGCGGGGCGGAUCGAUGUUUGUGGUGAACUAUGUGCCUGUCGGGACACGCCCCUGCUGACUGCUCCUGUGGCUCCUCCCACAGGCCCCUGUAUAAAGGCGAUCUGAGGCCUGACGCUCGGCCUCAGUCUCCAGGACAUUGUCUGAUAGACACUCACUCCUGGUUCCUUCUUCCAGUCAAUAAAAGCCGAUAUCUCGCCUUAUGUCUCAGUUUAGACCUGUGGUGAGAGAUUUAUUGGAAGAAAAGCCCACAACUGGAAGCAAACUACGACUAAAGAAGAGGGAACAGCAGCAAGUGAACCAGCCCGAGGACUGAGAGCACCGACUGGAGAGAACCCAUCUGACUCAGGGUUUCCAGUGAUUCCGUCAGGAGCAAGUUUGGUUUAACUAGAAAGGAUUGAAGGCAGUGGAGAAGGAAAGGUCAGUGCCUUUAAGCCGUUCUGUUUCGUGAAUUCUUCGUGGGAAGUUCAGCAUCGGGGAUCGAAGCAAGCGACGUGAAAGAGAAUUUAAAUCGUCCUAUAAAGUCUCUCCUUUUAAAUGGACUGUGAGCAUAUCGAACUUUUGGCAAUACCACUUUUAAGAACUGUUUUGGAAUAUCACUUUACGAACUGUUUGAACAGCCGCUCAGCAGCUGUUUCCGGUUACGGUAGUGUUUGUUUACUUUUGGGGGGUUUGUUUUCUGUGUUUAAUAAACAUGUUGUUUGUUAUAAGA
Molecule: long non-coding RNA, 1265 nt
Organism: Hypanus sabinus (Atlantic stingray)
Lineage: Eukaryota; Metazoa; Chordata; Chondrichthyes; Myliobatiformes; Dasyatidae
Exons: 3
Source: RefSeq, a predicted model, not a curated record